This 493-nucleotide ribosomal RNA is filed under the name uncultured bacterium. Its description in RNAcentral is "partial 16S ribosomal RNA". It matches the Rfam family "Bacterial small subunit ribosomal RNA", at positions 30 to 523 of the family's 1533-position model. The record is from RNAcentral.
AUUGAACGCUGGCGGCAUGCCUUACACAUGCAAGUCGAACGGUAACAGGUUAAGCUGACGAGUGGCGAACGGGUGAGUAAUAUAUCGGAACGUGCCCAGUCGUGGGGGAUAACGUAGCGAAAGCUACGCUAAUACCGCAUACGAUCUACGGAUGAAAGCGGGGGAUCGCAAGACCUCGCGCGAUUGGAGCGGCCGAUAUCAGAUUAGGUUGUUGGUGAGGUAAAAGCUCACCAAGCCUGCGAUCUGUAGCUGGUCUUAGAGGACGACCAGCCACAGUGGAACGGAGAAACGGUCCAGACUCCUACGGGAGGCAGCAGUGGGGAAUUUUGGACAAUGGACGCAAGGCUGAUCCAGCAAUGCCGCGUGCAGGACGAAGGCCUUCGGGUUGUAAACUGCUUUUGUACGGAACGAAACGGUGAGCUCUAAUACAGUUUGCUAAUGACGGUACCGUAAGAAUAAGCACCGGCUAACUACGUGCCAGCCGCCGCGGUAA